GACGAACGCUGGCGGCGUGCUUAACACAUGCAAGUCGAACGGACAGGCCCGGCUCUUGCGGCGUGCUCGAGUGCCGAACGGGUGAGUAACACGUGAGUAACCUGCCCUUGUCUUUGGGAUAACUUCAGGAAACUCGGGCUAAUACCGGAUAGGAGCUCCUGCUGCACGGUGGUGGUUGGAAAGUUUCGGCGGUUGGGGAUGGACUCGCGGCUUAUCAGCUUGUUGGUGGGGUAGUGGCUUACCAGGGCUUUGACGGGUAGCCGGCCUGAGAGGGUGACCGGCCACCUUGGGACUACGAUACGGCCCAGACUCGUACGGGAGGCAGCAGUGGGGAAUAUUGCACAAUGGGCGGAAGCCUGAUGCAGCAACGCCGCGUUCGGGAUGACGGCCUUUGGGUUGUAAACCGCUUUCGCCUGUGACGAAGCGUGAGUGACGGUAAUGGGUAAAGAAGCACCGGCUAACUACGUG
Molecule: ribosomal RNA, 468 nt
Filed under: uncultured bacterium
Lineage: Bacteria
Description: partial 16S ribosomal RNA
Rfam family: Bacterial small subunit ribosomal RNA
Source: RNAcentral